Leptinotarsa decemlineata (Colorado potato beetle) is the source of this 193-nucleotide long non-coding RNA. The record is from RefSeq and is a predicted model, not a curated record. Lineage: Eukaryota; Metazoa; Arthropoda; Insecta; Coleoptera; Chrysomelidae.
CAUGUAGGUAUUAGGCAGCCAGUAAUACAGGUGUACGUAUCAGUUCUACCUGUUGAACCAGCAAUCGAUCCACGUGUUUACGAUCAUUUCAAAUUCAGAGUUGAGAGCGCAGCACCCUAUUGUUUUCCAAUCAUAUUAAAUGAUUGUUCCACGUCUUCCAACCUGUUCCAGUGAUAAAUAUUCUCGAAGAAAG